Molecule: long non-coding RNA, 156 nt
Organism: Sorghum bicolor (sorghum)
Lineage: Eukaryota; Viridiplantae; Streptophyta; Magnoliopsida; Poales; Poaceae
Exons: 3
Source: RefSeq, a predicted model, not a curated record
CAACGAGAUGGACUCUGGUGUGGCAAAGUGAAAUGGCUAAGCGGUGAAAUUUAGAGGGGAUAGCUAAGUACAAUUGCAACUGACAUAGUUGUGGUUGAUAUGUCCUACUGUAUUGGAACUUAUAAGGAGAACUAGAAGUGACAGUCGUCCGUGUUC